Molecule: ribosomal RNA, 934 nt
Filed under: Prevotella sp. oral taxon 292
Lineage: Bacteria; Pseudomonadati; Bacteroidota; Bacteroidia; Bacteroidales; Prevotellaceae
Description: bacterial SSU rRNA
Rfam family: Bacterial small subunit ribosomal RNA
Source: RNAcentral
GAUGAACGCUAGCUACAGGCUUAACACAUGCAAGUCGAGGGGAAACGGGGAAGCAGCUUGCUGCUUUCUGUCGUCGACCGGCGCACGGGUGAGUAACGCGUAUCCAACCUUCCCAUAACUAAGGAAUACCCCGUAGAAAUGCGGCCUAAUCCCUUAUGGUCUCUUAUGCCUGUCAUGGGAAUAAAAGUAAAGAUUUAUCGGUUAUGGAUGGGGAUGCGUCUGAUUAGCUUGCUGGCGGGGUAACGGCCCACCAGGGCAUCGAUCAGUAGGGGUUUGAGAGGAAGGUCCCCCACAUUGGAACUGAGACACGGUCCAAACUCCUACGGGAGGCAGCAGUGAGGAAUAUUGGUCAAUGGGCGCAAGCCUGAACCAGCCAAGUAGCGUGCAGGAUGACGGCCCUAUGGGUUGUAAACUGCUUUUUAAGGGGAAUAAAGAGGGACACGCGUGUCCUGUUGCAUGUACCCUUGGAAUAAGGACCGGCUAAUUCCGUGCCAGCAGCCGCGGUAAUACGGAAGGUCCAGGUGUUAUCCGGAUUUAUUGGGUUUAAAGGGAGCGUAGGCCGCAGGUUAAGUGUGUUGUGAAAAGCAGUCGCCCAACGUCUGCCUUGCAGCGCAAACUGUCCUGCUUGAGUGCGCACAACGCAGGCGGAAUUCGUCGUGUAGCGGUGAAAUGCUUAGAUAUGACGAAGAACUCCGAUUGCGAAGGCAGCUUGCGGGAGCGCAACUGACGCUGAAGCUCGAAGGUGCGGGUAUCGAACAGGAUUAGAUACCCUGGUAGUCCGCACGGUAAACGCUGGAUGCCCGUUUUUGGCUUAUUUUAAGUCAGAGACCAAGCGAAAGCAUUAAGCAUCCCACCUGGGGAGUACGCCGGCAACGGUGAAACUCACAGGAAUUGACGGGGGCCCGCACAAGCGGAGGAACAUGUGGUUUAAUUC